AUUGAACGCUGGCGGAAUGCUUUACACAUGCAAGUCGAACGGUAGCACAGAGAGCUUGCUCUCGGGUGACGAGUGGCGGACGGGUGAGUAACGUCUGGGAAACUGCCCGAUGGAGGGGGAUAACUACUGGAAACGGUAGCUAAUACCGCAUAACGUCGCAAGACCAAAGUGGGGGACCUUCGGGCCUCACACCGUCGGAUGUGCCCAGAUGGGAUUAGCUAGUAGGUGGGGUAAUGGCUCACCUAGGCGACGAUCCCUAGCUGGUCUGAGAGGAUGACCAGCCACACUGGAACUGAGACACGGUCCAGACUCCUACGGGAGGCAGCAGUGGGGAAUAUUGCACAAUGGGCGCAAGCCUGAUGCAGCCAUGCCGCGUGUAUGAAGAAGGCCUUCGGGUUGUAAAGUACUUUCAGCGGGGAGGAAGGCGGUGAAGUUAAUAGCUUCACCGAUUGACGUUACCCGCAGAAGAAGCACCGGCUAACUCCGUGCCAGCAGCCGCCGUAA
RNAcentral lists this ribosomal RNA (504 nucleotides) under uncultured bacterium. RNAcentral's name for it is "partial 16S ribosomal RNA". It matches the Rfam family "Bacterial small subunit ribosomal RNA", at positions 30 to 523 of the family's 1533-position model. The record is from RNAcentral.